GCUUGUCUCAAAGAUUAAGCCAUGCAUGUCUUAGUGUAAAUAACUCUUAUGAAACUGCGAAUGGCUCAUUAAAUCAGUUAUCGUUUAUUUGAUGGUCCCUUACUACAUGGAUAACCGUAGUAAUUCUAGAGCUAAUACAUGCACAAAGGCCCGACUCACGGAGGGCUGUAUUUAUUAGAUUCAAACCAACACUUUUUGGUGAUUCAUAAUAACUUGUCGAACCUCAUGCCUUUUAUGGUGGAGGUGAUUCAUUCAAAUUUCUGCCCUAUCAACUUUCGACGGUAGGAUAGAGGCCUACUGUGGUGAUAACGGGUAACGAAGAAUAAGGGUUCGAUUUCGGAGAGGGAGCCUGAGAAACGGCUACCACAUCCAAGGAAGGCAGCAGG
Molecule: ribosomal RNA, 386 nt
Filed under: Plagioselmis nannoplanctica
Lineage: Eukaryota; Cryptophyceae; Cryptomonadales; Cryptomonadaceae
Description: partial small subunit ribosomal RNA
Rfam family: Eukaryotic small subunit ribosomal RNA
Source: RNAcentral